Molecule: ribosomal RNA, 1489 nt
Filed under: Lactiplantibacillus pentosus
Lineage: Bacteria; Bacillati; Bacillota; Bacilli; Lactobacillales; Lactobacillaceae
Description: bacterial SSU rRNA
Rfam family: Bacterial small subunit ribosomal RNA
Source: RNAcentral
GACGAACGCUGGCGGCGUGCCUAAUACAUGCAAGUCGAACGAACUCUGGUAUUGAUUGGUGCUUGCAUCAUGAUUUACAUUUGAGUGAGUGGCGAACUGGUGAGUAACACGUGGGAAACCUGCCCAGAAGCGGGGGAUAACACCUGGAAACAGAUGCUAAUACCGCAUAACAACUUGGACCGCAUGGUCCGAGUUUGAAAGAUGGCUUCGGCUAUCACUUUUGGAUGGUCCCGCGGCGUAUUAGCUAGAUGGUGGGGUAACGGCUCACCAUGGCAAUGAUACGUAGCCGACCUGAGAGGGUAAUCGGCCACAUUGGGACUGAGACACGGCCCAAACUCCUACGGGAGGCAGCAGUAGGGAAUCUUCCACAAUGGACGAAAGUCUGAUGGAGCAACGCCGCGUGAGUGAAGAAGGGUUUCGGCUCGUAAAACUCUGUUGUUAAAGAAGAACAUAUCUGAGAGUAACUGUUCAGGUAUUGACGGUAUUUAACCAGAAAGCCACGGCUAACUACGUGCCAGCAGCCGCGGUAAUACGUAGGUGGCAAGCGUUGUCCGGAUUUAUUGGGCGUAAAGCGAGCGCAGGCGGUUUUUUAAGUCUGAUGUGAAAGCCUUCGGCUCAACCGAAGAAGUGCAUCGGAAACUGGGAAACUUGAGUGCAGAAGAGGACAGUGGAACUCCAUGUGUAGCGGUGAAAUGCGUAGAUAUAUGGAAGAACACCAGUGGCGAAGGCGGCUGUCUGGUCUGUAACUGACGCUGAGGCUCGAAAGUAUGGGUAGCAAACAGGAUUAGAUACCCUGGUAGUCCAUACCGUAAACGAUGAAUGCUAAGUGUUGGAGGGUUUCCGCCCUUCAGUGCUGCAGCUAACGCAUUAAGCAUUCCGCCUGGGGAGUACGGCCGCAAGGCUGAAACUCAAAGGAAUUGACGGGGGCCCGCACAAGCGGUGGAGCAUGUGGUUUAAUUCGAAGCUACGCGAAGAACCUUACCAGGUCUUGACAUACUAUGCAAAUCUAAGAGAUUAGACGUUCCCUUCGGGGACAUGGAUACAGGUGGUGCAUGGUUGUCGUCAGCUCGUGUCGUGAGAUGUUGGGUUAAGUCCCGCAACGAGCGCAACCCUUAUUAUCAGUUGCCAGCAUUAAGUUGGGCACUCUGGUGAGACUGCCGGUGACAAACCGGAGGAAGGUGGGGAUGACGUCAAAUCAUCAUGCCCCUUAUGACCUGGGCUACACACGUGCUGCAAUGGAUGGUACAACGAGUUGCGAACUCGCGAGAGUAAGCUAAUCUCUUAAAGCCAUUCUCAGUUCGGAUUGUAGGCUGCAACUCGCCUACAUGAAGUCGGAAUCGCUAGUAAUCGCGGAUCAGCAUGCCGCGGUGAAUACGUUCCCGGGCCUUGUACACACCGCCCGUCACACCAUGAGAGUUUGUAACACCCAAAGUCGGUGGGGUAACCUUUUAGGAACCAGCCGCCUAAGGUGGGACAGAUGAUUAGGGUG